This 165-nucleotide long non-coding RNA is filed under the name Bos indicus x Bos taurus (hybrid cattle). RNAcentral's name for it is "lncRNA (ENSBIXG00005003488.1)". The record is from RNAcentral. Lineage: Eukaryota; Metazoa; Chordata; Mammalia; Artiodactyla; Bovidae.
AUGGCUAGAAACAUCCCCUGGAGAUGCAAGGCGCCCAGGGCUCCUGGUAAAGAGCACAGCCAGGGAGGAAGUGCCCUGAGGCUGCUGGGCGAGCCGGAAGUGGGAGCUGUUUCUAGCACAGAGGAUGUGGCUCAAGACAAGCCUGGAGGUGGUGGCGUGGCUGAG